This is a long non-coding RNA of Columba livia (rock pigeon), 20307 nucleotides long. RefSeq lists it as uncharacterized. NCBI's taxonomy places the organism in Eukaryota, Metazoa, Chordata, Aves, Columbiformes, Columbidae. The transcript has 2 exons. The record is from RefSeq and is a predicted model, not a curated record.
UGUGCCGCACGGCACGCUUCUCCUUUCCCAAAGAGAUGCUUGUCUAAAUGUGGUUUUUCCCCAUCCCUGACAUGCAAAAUGAAAACCACUGUUCCCCUGAAAAUCUUUCACAUAAUAACAAGUGACAGCUAUAUUGUGCUUGGCAAAGCCCCGGGCAGUUAUCCGUUCACAGAGCUGCCUCUUCAGACCUUUACUCUAUGAAUUUGAGUGCUGAUAUUUCUUUAGGCCUCCUGGGGUUCCAGUUAGCGAUAUGUCUGCAGGGCAGAUGCCCUGGAAUGCACGACGUGUGCUCAAGUAUCACAGAAAUGCAAGUUUGACUUUCCUCGGUGGCAAACGUGAGCAGUUCGGGGAGCCGGUGGCCCUCUGUGCAUGUGGUGGGACACAGGAGGUGCAGCCUUAGAUCUGGACAACUCCAAAGUGGGUCAGAAAAUGUUUAGGUAAAAUGUAAAUGCUCUAAAUGAUCUGCUGCGUAAUGGCUUUUGUCAUUCGCUUGUUGAGGAGAUAAAGCAAAACGUGUUAUACUGAGAAAGUAUUUGGCUUUUUGGCAUGGAGAGUUGUGAAGGUCUCAGCACGGUGGCCGGAAUGAAGGUUGUUUGGAAAGUGCUCCUCUUUGAUCUCAGCUCUUGAGGCUGGUGGCUUCUCGUUUAUUGCUAUUUUUUUGGCUCAGUUUCUUUCCAUUAGCUGCUACAGCAGUUUGCUGCCCACCAGCUUCAGAUGUACGACAGCUUGAAUGGUGCUACCUUUUGGUUAACUUUUGCGAAUUUUUAGAUGCGUGUACGUGUUAAGCUUUCAGUUUGGCUUUAACUGAGACUAAUGAGUUCUGGCUUUAACUGGGAGUAAUGUGUUAGCGAAAUGAGCAGGUGUUAUGGGAAGUGAACAAGAUGUGACACACAUUUGCUUGGACAACAAUUUUGCAUCAAUAAUUGUUCUGACACUCUAAAUGUAGAUAUCAUCUGUGACAUGGCUUCUCCUUCACUAACCUUGUUAAAAUAAUAAGAAUUAAAACAAGGAGGAGGAACACUUUGUUGGGACAGAUGUUUGAGGCUAUUGGCAAACGCAUCACAUUUUUGCAUGUUCACUUUCAUGCAGUUUGCAAUUAUGUUAAUGUAUGCUCAGGGCACUCGCUGAUAAAAGCGACAAUGCAGUGUGCUACAGCCAUUGUCACUAUUCCGACUGUGACUUCAAGGACAAACAUGGCACAUUUCUCAUUUUUCCUAUCUUCAGCAGUCUGUAUUUCUAGAGGAAAAAGAAAGAAGUUCUCUGAAGGUCUUAAUGACAACAAACACUCAGAUCCUGGAUAAGGGCACCCACGUCCACAGACGUAUUUUUAAUAAGAGGAAAAGGGGGUUGGAGACCAGAAUUACUUACUAUGAGACUUUUCUAUAAAAUGAAUUUGUGAUACUUUGCUCAUAAUUUCAGAAACAGCGUUCACUGGAACAAUGAAAGGGUUGAGUACGUUGAGUUUGUGCAUAGAUGUGAUCACAGUAAGUAGCUGUCACUUCGGAUCUCUCAGUUCAACACAGCAGUCUACUAAACCAACACGGCAAUUAGUUGCAAGGACCAAAAUAGCUAAAUAUUAAACCAGCUUUCAGUAACUGUGUCGGUAGACAUACUGCACUAAAAGAGGGGGGAAAAGCUUUCCAUAACAUGCAUUUUUUUUUUUCUGAAAUACAAGUUUUACCCUUUGCUAUUUAGUCAGAAAUCUAUAAUAAUUGCCUCAUAGGAAAAAGAUAUAUAUAUUUGUGCCAUGAUUAUAUAUACAUAUAGUUUUGCUUUCAGUAAAGGCAUUUUCAAACGAAGCCUAAUGCUGGAUCAGGCCAAACUUACCUAACAGCCUAAAGCUGAGAUUUUUCAAAGUGGCUGAAAGAGUUAGGCAUUUAAUUCCUAGUAGGAUUGGAAAAUGCCAACUUGUGGAUUAAAGCGUCUAGUUUUGGCCCUACAAAUACAAAAAUAAAAUAAAUCACAGUCCUGAGUCUUUUAUCUGUCUCCGGAGACUGCAACUUUUAAAUAUGCCUAGCUGUAAGAUCUGACAUCAACAGUCUGCUUUGCAAAGUCGUGGUGCCGUUCAUGAUGGCUGAGAUCAGCUAUAAUCACCAUCAUUCCUUGAUUUACUGAUUCAAAUUAGGCAGUGGGCUAUUUAUUUGCAGCUGUUAAUGUGUGGGGAAUAGCUCCUGCUCUCCACCUCGCUUGUGGGGCAGCUCACUCCGCCUCAUUUAGAGCAUGAAAAUCCAAAGCCUUAUUGCUUAACUGUAAGAAUAGACAAAGGACUUCCAAACCAAAGGUGACCUCUGUGAUUUGCGCUGGUGUCGUGACAAAAAUCAGCUCUUUCUUUUGUGUUUGUGUGAAAUUCCUGAACCUGUUUUUGCAUGUUUAGUCAAGAAUCCCUUGGUGAGCCCUCGCAGGUAUUUAUUUCAACAACUCUUCCCUGUGUGCCUCUAACAACAUUUCCAAAAAUUGAUCAGCCAGUUAAUGGGAUUAAUCGCAAGGGAAAAUAAUGCCAUUAAUGUCAAUAAAGAGCUGUUGAGACACAAGUGCCAAAACAUUCAAAAGAGAGUCAUUAAUCUGUAAUCUAGAUUGAGGGCACUCUGGAAAAAAUGAGGGAAAAACUAGAUAAAUAAAUAAAAAGGAAGAAACGUAGAGAGUGAGAGCUGCGGCUUCAGCUACACAUCUUUCAUGCAACAUACGGAGUUGAUCCGUUCCAGUGCCCUCAAGAAAACGGGUACAGAAAGCUCCGCAAUGCACCCCAAACUGGAGGAAGUCUUUGCUUUGCCGUGGGGCUCCAGAAACGGGCCGACACAAAUGAUGUGUCAGCUCGGAGCAAGCCCGGCUCCCUCACGCUCAGGUGUGCUCCUUUGAACUGACGCCCAUGUAAAUCGUGGAGGGGAGUUCUCUGCGCUGCCACACUGCUGGGAGCUGGAGGAAUGUCCGAUGACGUUUGUCAGUGCUCUUGCCGCGCUUCUUUCUUCUCGCCCCUUGACUUAGGCUGUAGCACGCUGUACAGUUUGGGGUGCAGGAGCCAGAGCUGAUGUGUGCGGAGGGGUGGGCAAAAGUUGUUAAUAAUUCAUUAGUAGCUGGCAGGGAGUGGGACAUAAUGAGGUUUAACUUUUGGCAAUUUAGAUUUUCUUUAAACUUAGUUUUACCUCUGAAUUUGAUCCAAAACAUUUCCUUAACACCUCCUAUACUUGACUCUGAGUUGCUGUUUUAAUUUGGCUUUGCUGUACAAAGGACCUGAGGGUCUACCCUUACUUUCUACAUGGUCGUGUUCUAGAAACACUUUGAACGUGCACAUACGAUCACACCACGUUUUGUGGUAACCGCUCAAUACUUGCAAAUAAGAUAUCCCUGUUUCCAUAGCUUUUCCAUGGAGACAAAGCUUUGUGCAUCUCCUGUGUUUGCAAUAAUAAUGCAGCUUUCCAAUUUCUCUCCUCGGUAAGGUUACAUUCAGUUGUCCUGAGGCUAAUUAAGAAAUUUGAGUGCAUCCAGUUCCUCAUCUUCACUGCAUCUGAAGAGCUGUAAGAAUUUCCAGUUGCUGCGAUAAGGAGAAUACUGUUGCUUGUAAUUAGCUGUUCGUGCAGAUCAGAACCUCCCUAAUUCUUACUUAAGCCUCUCUGUUUGCUGGAAUAGCGAGCACAGAGAUGCUGUGUACCCACUGACCGGUGCUGCCGUCCCCGCCAAGCCUCGCUCAAGCCUUGUCCCAAGAGAAGAAGCCCACCCUGACCUAUCCUCAUCUGUCUCCCCAAACACCAUCUAUACCCAUCUCAAAUAUCACACUUUUGAGAUCUAUUGAAAUGACACUUUUUUAUCCAAUAAUGAAACCAGGUGGGUUUUUUUUCCAUUUAGUUGCAAAAUAUUUAAUUUUAGUAAGACUGUUUCAUCCCCACCUUUGCAUUUAAAACAAAAUGACCUUUUUUUUGGAUACAUGUGGAAUAAGUGAUAUUUGCAAAGUCAAAAUAAGACUGCAGAGAGGAUAUUCUAAAGGCUAAUCCAUUACUUUUGAGGAAAAAUAUCAAGCUUUUCCAGAAUACCUUAUUAUUAUUCUGGGUCACCAUGAUGUUUCCAUGCACCUUGGCAUGUCCCUUUAAUUGGAUCCUUACAUAGGAAGGUCCAGCAUAGUUGCAUUGAAAGCUGACAUUUCUAACUAACUGACCUUUUCAGGCCCAGUGCUACUCCUAUAAUGAUUAUCCUCUAGCAUUGUUUGGACACAAUACCACAUACUUCACAGCACAUAAAGAAUAUGUUCUUUGAGAACUAUUCAAAAUGCCCAAUCUCAAGUUAGCAAAAUGAGAAAAUUGGGUGCAAACAUUCAUCAGAGUGUUAUUGUGCAGGUAUCGAUUUGAAUGCCCUUUCAUUUCUCUGGGAAAAAGUGUUGUAUUAUGGAGCUCUAAAUUAACUUCUGUUCUGUUUUUUUUUCUCUUUUUUCCCUAGUAAGUAUAAAAAGGUCAAAUUCAUUCAUAAGGCUGAAUAGAUUUGCAGGAUAUAAGCAAUAAGAUAGCAAUCAACCUUCAAAUAACCUUUAAAGAGACAGUAUCUUUUCUUAUAAACAGUAAUUGAUCUGCUCAUUAAGUCUCUGCAUACUCUUUGGGCUCACCUAGGCAAAAAUGUGUAGGAACCUGUGACAAAAGGAUGUCGGCUAGAACAAAACAGGAAUAAAUCCUCAGGUGGAAAUAUAAAUAUUUGACAGGUUUCGCGGGGUGUAAAGUUGAUGAAAGGGCUGACAUUGUGAUGUGAAUUCCUUGACCUGACUGUUACAAGGCUGGAGUGAAAAAGACAUAGAAAAGACCUCGAAGUAUGAAUUUGGUAUUAGUGAGGAUAACGAUGACAGCGUGUUCAGACAUGCCCAAAACCUGAAUACAUCUUCACCUUCCCUUCUGAGUUUCGCGGCUGAUGUGGGAGGGUGAAGAUCGCAGUUUGCCUUUGGUCAGCGUUCGUAUAGGGGGGCGCACAUAUAGGGGCACGUCUGCCGGGGAGCUGCUGCACAUCACAACCGACUUAACCACCUGUACCCGAGUUGCUCUUUCAAGAACAGCCAGAAUGUCAAGUAAUGGCUUUCUUUGCGCCAUGAGCGCUUUUUUGGACGUACGAGGGGCGGCUGACGAUCUCUGCCUGUGCAGAAAGGAAACCUGCACGUCCAGCCCCUUGUCACCGCCACCCGGUGCCGGUGUCCCUGCAGCUCCUCCGGUGUCGGCCGCAGCGGCUCAAGGGCUGCUGCAUUCCUUCCGAGGGAGCGAUAUUUAGCCGGGGACUCGCUUGAAGAACAGGGAUUCUGUGAUUUAAGAUACCAAUCGGAAGAUUAGUGUUCUGACCAUGUCCAUAUUUCAUUUCUGCAUGUAAAUCCGUGUUAUGUUUUUAGUAUUAUUUUUAUGAAUUGCACAUACACUGAGGACUAUCUGUGCAUAAUUGAUUACAAGGGGUUGUCUUGGUUUUUAUCUUUGAUCAGGAUUUCCAGAAGCAGCGAGUAUCCCCGGUGACGAGGCUUUUCAUGCUGUAAAUGUUUGCACAUAAUGCGUUCUGUUUUACUUCUCGAUGUGCAGAAUGAGCAUCUGGCUUAUUUAGAGAGAGUGAAAAUGAGCGAUUCUUUGCACAGGUGCAUUGUGUUCCUUCUCUUUUGGCAUAAGCUUGAGGAAAACUUAAAAUAAUAUUGUUUUAUUUUCUCCAAGAAAAAAAAACCCACUCUUUCUUGCAUAUCAGAUGUUUUCACAGAGAAUAGAAAGCUUUGUCCUUUUUAAUGGAAUUUUGAUUUCCAAAGGUAUCUGUAUGGAAGCAGUCUCUUCACUUAGGUGUAUUCUGUUUGUUUAACUGUCUGCUGAGUGACCUGAACAGGACUUGGUAAAAACCGGUGUACUAAAUAUACAGAAGCCAGCAGAGGAUGAUAUUGAUGGUACAAAAUGGAGCACAGCGCAGAAACGCAUGAGACCUGAAUAGCAGCCUGUGCAGCUCGCAGGAGACUCGCCAGUGUGGUCCAGGUGCCACCAAGCCGUGUUACCUGGGUGCUCUGCCUGAGAGAAAUCAGCCCUGGCUCUUCUUUAAAAUUGUGAUUCUUUUUAGUAAAAAGGCUUUAGGGUGCUGUCGUUCCAGUGGUGCCCAACUGCAGCUGGACCUGGACCUUUGCUCGUGACUUUGUUUUUAAGCAGGCACAUGCUGUGCUUCAUUUCUGCCGUGGCAGCGCCCACGUGUCGCAGUGCACGAGGACGCACAGUGUGGCACCAAGCUGCCCCCGAGCAGCUGGUGACUCCACGGAUAAAGCAAGGGACAGUGGGCAGGAUGGGGUGUCAAAAGUAAGAGACGUUUUUAGUAGAACUGCAUUUCAUUUUUGAGAAACUGCCCACUACCAUCCUUUUUGCCUUGUAGAUUCCCGUGCCUCUUCGCUACCCCUUUUCUCCAGUGUCUGAUGUAGCAGAAAAUGGCAGAACGGUGAUAAUUAUACAGCUACAACGGAUGGGGCUGAGGAAGAGGGGAGCUGGAACUGCACAAGGGACUCUUCCUUAUCUCAUUUGUUUCUAAGAAUUGCCAGUGGGCUCAUUUUUUUGGUAUGCAGAACAUUUUCUAUUCAAGCAGAAAGCCAAGGUCACUGGGAAACCCACAAGAAGAGAUAACCCACAGCCUUUUUUAUAGUAUUUUGAGCUUGUAACCAGAAGGCACAAAGGAUUUUUUAGGAGAGAUUUCAGUAGAAAGGUGUGAUAGUUUUGUGAAUUCAGACUGAAAAUGCAGGAUAACCCAUGGUGAAAAAGUGACUUGUUCAUCACGCAGCUCCGUGCAGCAUUGGAGGGAGUUAUCUGAGAUGCUGCUAAAUGAGAUAGUGUGAGCACGGUUAGGCAGUAAUAUCACUGCAGUGUCGUUAAAACGCAGGUUAAAGGAAGGUGAAACACUGUUUUAACACCACGGUCUGGUUCUGGCGUUGCAGCUAGCCGUGGCAUUUGUACAAGAUGCUGCACUGGACCGCGCGGAUGCUGCGGGUGCCAGGACCGUGCUGGCAGAGCGCUGAGGCACGCAAGGCCACAUGAGAUAAAGUCUAUAUUGGAGCCUGGGGAGGGCAACGUAAACCAUUAAGUUGUAUUUGCUGGGCCAUACAACUCAAAAUGAAAACAAGUUUGUUCAAAAUAGCUAGGAGACAGCAGGGGAUUAUAUUAUUCUUGAUAUUUUUAUUACAUUACCUGCCCUUUUCCACACAUGCGUCCAUUGUCUUUAUCAUCUGGGGACUACUGGAAGGAAGAAUUCUGUGUGCAGACCCUGAUUUUCCUGCCCAUGACCCGCAGCCUUGGAGCAGCGCUAAAUCGUGUCGUGCUGCAGCCAUCCCCUGUGAUAAGCCACCCGCUCGCUGCUCCUCCCGGGGCUGUGAGGGUGCAGGGCCACAGCUGAUGCGAAAGGAUUCUGCAUCUGGUCACUUAGACCUACUGCAAAUUUGCUUUGGGAUCUGACCCAGAGCACUUAAGUUGCCUCUUCCUUGGACCAAACCCCUCACCACUGUCAAAGAUUUGACAAACCUGACACCGAGAGCGACUUCACGCAUUGCGAUCCUGAACUGAACUCCCUCGCUGCAACAGGCGGGCUUCAAUUUUGUUAUUCAAGCACUAAAAUAGCUUUCUAUAUACUAGAAAAAUUCCCUCCUUGGUCUAGUUUGAGCACCUGAGGCUGAUGCUCCCCAUCCCUCUGCCCACCUGGCCAGGUGUCACCUCUGCCAUAGCCUUGACUUUCACACCGGCUCUGUGGACACUUGUGGCAUCUCGACAGAUGCCUCCCACAGCAGGAGCCACGGUGCCGCGUGCGUUUGUACCCAGCACAAAGAGAGGUGCUAUAUAAUAGUGCUGCUGCUAAUAAAUAUCAACCGUAUAGAUGUCAGGUUGCCCAGAGAAUGUAUUCUACCCACAAACCAGGCGGCUCUGCUGCGGGGUUCGGGAAUUAACUGCAGGAGUAUCACUCUCUUAAGGCUUUGUGUUAUAGUUCUGUUUUCUUCACCUUUAACCCCACAAUGGAUUAUGACCAUACUUUCUCUUAUAACUAAAUGCUCUUCUGUCCUUUGACAAAACAGAUUUGUGUCUUUUCAUAGCUUUCUGUAGAGGGCUAAUAAUACAUGGGAAAGCUUUACUGCCCACAGGAGACUUUGCCUGGCCGUAAUAAUAAGAAAUGCUGUUGAAAAGUCAUGAUCAAUGUUAAUUCAGUUAUUUUUCAUUCUCUCUUUUUGUAAUGAAAUCUUCUACUUUGUGCAUUUUAUCCAGUGCUACCCCAUGAAUUGCUCGUUGGAGAGAGGGGUCAUUGGUUAUAAAAAUGAAUUCUUGUUGUUUGGCCUCAUACAAAAAUAACUGCAAUAUUUUGAAAUGAUGAAUUUAAGGGAGAAAAAUAGUGGAAUCUUGGAUGUACAAAAGAUGUAAAUAUUGUUUUCCAGGUUUUAUGGUUCCCUGAUGCCUUCUCUAAUUGCAUAGCUAACCCUGAGUUUAUUAAGUUAUUUUCCAGAGUCCAACUCAUUUGUAAACAUGUCAGAAUAAAAUCUAAAUUUAUAAAAACCAAAACCUUUGGAUUAGAAUUGUGGAGUGAUCAACAAACUAAUUUAGAAUGUAUUUGCAUGUAAUUUACAUGUGCCAAAAUAGGACUGCAUGUGGUUUGUAAAUACAGGUCUUGAAUCUAUUUCACAUUACAGAAUAGCACAGAAGAAAUUAAUUGUAGCUUGAAAAAAAAAGGUUAAAAUAAUAAAAAAGAUGGCUUAAAAUGGCCCAUGUUUGAACGUGAUUCAAUGUGCAGAAACUGGAGAGGAGAGAUAAGCAGGCAGAGAAAGCUGUAAAUUCUAGCAGCAACAUCUGUAGUAGUUAGAAUACUAUGUUUUAUUGCAAUCCCUUGCCUCCCCCCGUGGACAUUACGAUGGCGUGCACUACAUUUAUUAUUCACUUUCUGCAAGAGAUGUUUUCCUAGCACAGCCUUAAAAAUAAGGUCUGUUCCUUUCUUUUAACAUUCAGACUUGUUCAAAGAUAAUGCCGUCAGCUUCCAUUUGGAGCACCAUGGCUAGUUUGGCCUCUAUAUUGGCACGAGAUAACAAUUUACCAUUAUCCUUUUGUACCAAAGGGUCAAUCAGCAGGUAAAUCCUCCAUCUGGAGAAGACGUGUUGGUCACCGUUGCCUGCGAAUCCUCCAAGCUGAGCAGAGAACACAGUUUAGAGAGGGAGGAGAAGGUCGUGCGGGACGAUGAGCAGCGCUGGUGACGGGAUGUGCAGAACGAUGCUGAAGGGGGGGGGAUGCUGAAAGGCAAUGACCACGUGGAGCUGGCAGGUCUUGUCAGGAGUGUCACAGGGGCUCAGGGUGCAAGAAUAUUCAUGUGCUGGUUAUUUCUGCUGUCACACCUGCCAGAAGGAGGCUCUGACAGGAUCCUCCAUGGUUUUUUUCCAUCUAAAAUGCUAUAUGUGAAGAGGCAGGAUGGAGCGGACCAUCUAUGCCUACUGCUUCUGAAAUAAGCGGGACAGAGUGAAGCAUCAUCCAUGGAGGUCUGAGAUAGAAGAAGGGACAUCAGCCACAACAGCAGCAGGUCUUGCUUUGACUACUCAGCUUCUGCUCCUUCUGUGAGCGUUGGAAUGAAUUCUGGGCCUUGGGAUGAAAGCAGCCGUGGUUUUGAGGGAAGAGGGAAUGCUCUUUGGGUAGAAAGGGAUUGAGUAAAUCCAGACGUAAGGGCUGAGUUUGGUAAUACUGAAAUCCAUCACUGGAGGUAAUUCAUGUUUUCAGGAAUGUCCUUUUCUCUAUAUUCAUAGCCCAGCAGCCUGGAGUUUAAAAAGGGCAGCAAAGGGGGGCUGCAAUAUUGGAUUUAACAGGGUCUGUAGAGCUCGUCAGUGUCGAAUCUCACUUGUUUUCAGACUUUGCCAAGAUUAAGUAGAGAUGUAAGGGUCCCCCCUCCAAACCCUGGGAUGUUUUUCUAAACUGGCUUAGUUUCAUACAUUUUCUUUCCUUUUUAGGCAAGGGGGAGAAAAAAAUAGGAAUGGAGGGUAAAAAACAAACUUCUUGGGGUAGGAGGCAGAGCUUUGUUGUAUAUUUGCUACUCUGUGUUGUGCUUGAGUACCAUGGAAGAAUAUUCGCUACCAAGGAGGAUCCGAUUUCAGGAACCUUUCUAUAAUUUUUUCCAGGUCAUAAUACUUCUAAUUCAAUGUGCAGAUAAGCGUCUCUAAAUAUUUUCUUGUACUUCUUAUCUCUUCAACUCUAGAAGAAAUUAAUUGUAGCUUAAAAAAAAAAAAAAAAAGGUUUUAUUUCCCAUUUGGCUCUGAGCCGUUUUGUAUAUCUGCUUUAAAUGUUAAUUAUUAAUUAGGACAUAAUCUAUUUAAGUCUCUUUAGCUGUCCAUUUCUUCCAAAGAAGGCAGCUGGACGAAACAAGAAAAAUGCAUCAUUAUAUAGAUGAUAAAUUAGCCUCUUACCCAGGCGAAGACCAUGUCUCAGCACUGAAGUUGAGAUACGCCAGGGGCUGGAGCGGAGGAGCCUCCCGGCUUGUGUCCGCUUGCUGUUUGAUCCACAGCAUGAGCCGGCUAAGAUGGCUUUUGUCAUUAAAUCAGUGGUAGCAGCAGAGCUUCAUCCCCAUAAUUUCCAUCCUACCAGAGUUCUUGUUGCUGGUGAAUGGACUUAGCGGGAGGUUGGUGGUAGGUUGAGUGUUCUUAAGUUGUGUUUGAGCACGAGGAGUCAGAGAAGCAACAGCACAAGAUAUUAAAACAACCCAAAAAUCCAACGCGUAAUAAAAAGCUUUUGCAUGUAUCCCAAGUGAAGCAGAUCCCUGUGUGAAGACCAGCGAAGCGGCAGCGCUAGUGAUGUCCUGCAAAAUCUGUUGACUGAAUUUGCUGUAUUGAUGGGAGCGGGGAGAGUUGUGGAUCUUUAUACAAACGUAUGGUUUCUUGACAGCAAAUAGGUCAUGGCCAGCUUUAUCAACUGAGUCCUGAAGACGAAAUGUGAGGCUGGCAAUUGGCAUCAAUGACCCGCUGUGGAAACAGGAGUUUCUUUCAUUUAUUCUAAUCAUAUUUUUGUUCAAAUAUUUACACAUUUUAUCUCUUAUUUAUUGAAAACAUUAUUUUGACUUCAUGUUCAACAGCAAGGGACACACUUUGGAUUAAAUUUUUGUUUAUUUGUGUAUUCAGCUCUUUUUUAUUUUCCAAGUUUAAUGCAAAAAAAAAAAGAGCCCUUGUUUAUAUGAACAGUAUCUAUAUGGACUUAUGUAUAUGAACAUUUGAAAAGAUGGGCAUUAGAUUGCAGAGUCCAUCAGCCUGGCUUCAAACCUUCCCUAGCAAACAGCUGAAUGGCUUUGGCAAUCUGCAGCGUGUUCCUGAGACUUCAAAUGAUGCUGUUGUGCUGCCCGCUGCGUCUCAGCUGUUCACAGACCAACGGCUGGUGAAGCUGGGACAUUUUCACCUGUAUUUUAUAUUUAUCCAUUGUUCAUAAUGAUCACUUCAGUUCAUUGUUCAUGAUGAUCAGUUCCAGAAAGAAACACUGUGCCCAUGCUGGUAUUACCUUUAAAAAGGAGCACAGACACCCACUCCAGUUCAGACACACGAGUUAAAUUACAAAUACAUUUGUAAUACUUCACAAUAAUAUGGCCCGAUUGCUUUUAUUGUAACUCAGACUGUCCUGUGCUGGUGGGACAUGGCUAAGAAACACGGAGAACACAGACACAAUUGAACUCUUGUUAUCUCCAGGACUUGGGCAGAUGGUCCAUUUGGGAUCCAGAGCCAGAGAACUUGCGUGUUCCUGACGUCCUUAAAAUGCGGCUGGCAAGGGUGAUGUUCAUUUGUGAUGGGCUUAACUCGCAUGGGGAAAUCCAGAAUCAAGUCACUGCUCCCAGGAUUAUAUUUCAUUAUGUACAAGCUAAAAUUUCCUUAAGAUAAAUGGGUGCACUGCCCCAAAUUCCUGUGCAAUAGUAUUGACCGAGCUUUUACCCUCAGGAGUGACAUCUUAGAGUCAUUGCAAGGGUCUGCUCAGAGCACAAAACCAGCCAAAAAUGCAAACAGGUAUUUGAGAGUAGCAGAAAGAGUAGAGAGCAAAUUAGAUGUAGUGAUACACAGCUCUCAAAAUAGGUGGUAGAGCCGGAAGAAGUACCAUGAAAGACAAUGACGAUGAUCAAUAAAACGGCUUCAAUCUGAAAAGAAAUCCAGUAGAAAUGUGAUUUUUUUGCUGUAGGAUGUGCCACGAGUGUAAAUGGAGCCUGAACUGGGUUUCUAAAGUCAAUGGGAGUUUUUCCAUAGUUAGAAAAUGCUGCAGCCACAGCUGCAUUACUGUAUUUUGAACCACAUGAUGAUGGGUAAAUACACCACUAAUACAAGUUACUACUGGCCCAGGGAUCAUAAUGAGUUUAUAUUCAUUAAGGAUAAAGAGCAAACAAUUGCAACCUGUACUGUGGUUUGCCUGAGAAGGAUUCAAUUCCCAAAGCUGUAAAAUUUCGUUAGCAAAUAUUUGAACAGAAAAUGUGGCUCUUUCUUCUUUUUUUUUUCUUUAAAGAAAUUGUAUUAAUUGUGUAUCUCCAAAGCCACAUCCCUUGACAUGAAGGAAAACUUUAGCUAAAGGUCUGUUCAGGUUCAGCGAUAUAAUUAAGAGAGCUUUAAAAAAUAAAAUUCAAAUAUUUAGCCUUAAUGAGAAUAGGGGACAUAAAUAGCUAUUGGGUACAAAAAGACAUGAAGGAAAAAUCCUUGCAGGCAAAACUAAAAGUUCUAUUCUUAGUAUAUUUGCUAGGAUGUCUUUUAUUCUGAAUAGUUUAAAACUCUACAGGUUUUAGUUCGGAACGAUAAUGCAGAAAAGGCAGAUGUGCUCAGUAAGAGUUUCUUUUGGUUUCUGUCACCUUGGGAUAAAAUGCUUUCAAAUCUGGCACUAUAAUAACCGGAAAAGAUGUUGGUUUAGUCUCUAUUAGGGAUAAACGCCCUUAAAUCAGCGGCUGAGCAGACGCUUCUUGUUCGGGAGGUCCUAGAGGAGCCAGGAUCACCUUGGGCCCAAGGCCAUUGUACAUCAAUGUAUCUUUGAACAUGGGGGAUGCCGUUUUAUUGGACAAAUACUCAAAAAGGCAACUUGUGUGCCUCGGGUUGGGACAGACUGGUGUUUUGACAACAACUAAUGAAAACUAAUUAAAAGACUGAUGGAGGUUUAGGGAGCAAAAGUGAAACACCAAUGGAAGGCAGUCGACGUUUCAUGAGAAAGAGGAUUUGCCAAACAAUUCAUCUCAGCCUUUGUGUAUGUUAUAAAUUUAGUUGAUAAAGUUUGUUGUGUAAUCUUUUUAAGGGGUUUGAUUUAGUACCUUACAGGUUUUUAAAAAUAUAGGAUGUAUUAAAUAGGUUAAAGAUCAGUCAACUGACACAUCUCACAAAUCACUCAUCUUGGAGGAAUCUUGCUUGAAUAGGGCUCUUUUUAAUGGCUUUCUUUUCACGGUAGUGGGCCCAAUGCUAUUUCUAAUGAUGAUUUGUCGGUGAUGAAAAUGUCACUGUUGAGUGGUAAGGAGAGAUGUAGAGAGGAGAGGUUAGUCAUACCGUGCAACCUGGAUCUCUUGAUGGGCUGGAUCCAUUCACACAAUACAGAUAUCAAUAUAGCAAAAAAACAGAUUUCUGCUUCCUAAAGGCAGGAAUGCAGCGGAAGCCUGCUUAACGGAACAGGAUCGACAGAUAAUUUGGGACUCUGUCAAGAAGUUCAAGUGGAUGUAGCCUCAAACGUAUACAGGGACAUAGGAUGGAUCAGAACCUCAAAAAAAUAUAUCUCAAAAUAUUUCAUACCUCAGUAUGUGCUACUGUGGCAUCCACCUUAGAAAGACAAGGCAUUGAAGUACUGGAGAGCUGAGAAAAAGUUUUAAAAUGUAAGAUUUUAACCCCUUUUUAGCUCAUCAAAAGUGAGACAGGAAGGCGACACGAUAAGCAUUUGGAGGUAGGCUGACCCUACUGCCGGCACGUCUGUGUUUGAUUUAUAACCCAGUCUACUGAUCUAAAUUAUUUUUUACUAUACAUGGUUUACCUUUUGUAUAGGAGUCUUUCCUGCAUGAACAUGUUCAAGUCAUAAAUGAGAAACGUUCAAGUGUAUAAAUGAGAGAUCUGUACUCGAAGGCUUUCAUGGAAGUUACAUACCUGUGUGUGCACAAAACAAGAGGUCAAUUUAUAGGCAAGAACAUAUUUGCAAGAAAGAACUGUCAAAAGAUAUUUUGCCUGCGUCUCACAAUCAGGACCAGAAUCCCAUGGCAACAGAUAAAGGUCAUUUUUACAGCAUGAUAUGGACUUUAAAGUGCAGUAUUUACAGUAAUACUAAUUACACUGGGUGGUGCAUGAGCUGGAUUGGUGUUCUCCAAGGCUGGCUGAAGGGAUAUGAACUUGCUUGCUAUGAAGGGGUGGAAUCAUAGCUUGCCUGAGUUUAGAUUCAAGUAGGUAAAUAAUUUACAGCUUUGUUUUGCUCUGCAUCUCUACCUGAUGCUCAGACACUAUUGAAACUGGCAGAGUAUCAGAGACAGAUUUCUGGGAAGACCUGCCCUUUGGUCAAAGAAAAUAAGCGUAGCUGAAUGUUACCUGGGCGUGAUCAAAGUGAAGAGUUAUUAUACUAAUAGAGAGCAGUAUGGUUAGAAAAGCUACCAAAGAGAAGUGAUAACAGUCACAAUUUAAUGUAACAUGUGAAAUUUUACUGUAUUUUUUCCUUUUAGGUGACCAAUUACACCAUGUAAACUAGUAAAAAUAUUUCAUGCUGUGUUAAGCAAGAAAGACAUAAACAAGAGAGCAACAUGGGAAUAAAGUAUAAUUUGUCUGCUGAACUACCAUGAGGUUAAUAGCAGCAUAUGGUCAAAAGAGAAGAUGCAUACAAAAGCAGAAAUGGCUAGAUCGGGCAUAGCAUUGAGCAGCCUACCAAAAAUGACAUUUCUCUUGCACUGCCGGCCUCUUCCACUUCAAAGUGUCCAAUGCAAUGAGCUACAGCUGGAAAUCUUGGGGCUGCAUUGCAAUGUCCCAGGAAAUGAAAAGCUUCGGAAAGCACGCAGAAUAGGGAGCAAACAGAGCGGGCAUGCUCCUGAAACAAACCCAUAUAUUGCUAUUGCAGACGUGGAACUCUGACAGCACCUCACAAAAGUUAAAGAUCAAACUGGAAGUGGGGAACUCGUAUCGCUAAGCUAAUAAUGUGGAAGAAAAAUAGCUGGCGUGAAGUUGAACGUUACUUCACAGCUUUACAAGACCUUUUUAUUUGGGUGGUUGGAAGUUUGUGUUUGCCCUUAACAAGGUAAAAUAAUGUAAUUCCUUUCUAUUGUUUGGAGCUGAGUGAGUGCCUGCAGGCUUGCUUGAUGAGAAAAGUGACAUCCUGAGGAAACGUACAGCAAAUUGCAAGCAAAAUCCUUAUUAGCAGUGGCAGUUACCUCCUGGAGUAGCAUUGAUGUGGAAUCCCUGUAAGGGUAGUGCUCUCCGCGCUCAACCAACCUGACAAAUAAGAGCAUUUGUUAGGAGUUCAUAUUCAAGUUGUGGUGGUGGUAAUAGAAUUUCACUUUCAGAUUCACAACAAUUAAAGCAAGGUACUGAAUAUCACUGUACCCGAGAGAUUAGGUUUUAAAGUUACACGUACAGUCCUUUUCUAUUGCAAAUGCAAUUAAAAAAAAAGCUGCUGCUUCUGCUCAUCCUUAGAGUGGUUACGAAGAGCAAGCAGGAGUCAAAGAUUUGGGAUGUCCCCAAAGAACAGCAGCGUUCACCGUGUGAUCCAUGUCUUGUCUCAGCUCAGGAACCCAGAAGAACGUUUGGAUCCAUCCUCUGCUGUUCUCCAGAGUGGGACAGGGAGGACAUGGGGAUGCUCUGGGUUAUUUGAGCACAGCAGUGGGAAGCAGCACACACGUUAUUUUGGAAACUGUUUUGCUAACAAAACCAACCAAACAAAACCAAGUUAGCAGUAUAAUAACAGCCUUGACAGGAACCAAAACAAUCUGCAGUGUUUGUUUUGUUUCCCAUCAGCCGUUAUGUCAGCGCAACAAGAAGUGAGAAGUACCAGAAUGCUCAUUUCUCCUUGUCCCAUACAACUAAAAUAUCUGAAAACAUUUACUCUGAGCAUGCAAAGAGGCUCCAGAGUGGAGACAAUUGAGAGAAAUACUCAGAUCUAAUCUCAACUCGUGUUACUCAAGGUAUGUUUAGAUUAACUGACUGUAUGAACUGACAGAAGAGGGAUGUAGGAGCGGAACGGUUGGUGCUGAAGACAUCACGCCUAUUUCUGGGGUUUUUAUGUUGGACCAGCCGUAGGGUGCUCCCAUGACUUGACUUCAGACCUUAAAAUGCUUAGGAUGUCAUAUGGAGGAAGUAAAUGUCUCGUUAAGUUACUAGUUGUCAAGCAUAUUUCCCCCCAAUUCAUUUUUAACUCGGCAUCACCAAAAUGCUCUCAAAUAGAAUUGGUUUGGGUAUUGUUUAAUUUAGUGAGAGAAAAAUCACUGUUAACAAAGUAAAAUAACAGCUGUUAUUGUAAUGCAUCAUGUGGAAAGGCAAGCAUCUCAGUAUUUGCUAUUUUAUAUUUUGAACAAUAUUUAGUAGCUAUUAUCACUUUCAAUGGAAGGUUGGAGUUCUGCACUUGAUAAACAAAAUGGGCUUGAUCUUCACUCAUGAAACCAUUCAGAAAUGCUAUUAAUACAUCUGUUAAUUAAAUAUGUGCUCAUGUCCCAAAUUUGUUCAUGUUAGAAGUAUAUUUUACCAUUUUAAAAGGACCAGUAAUACUCAGAAAGGACCAAUGAUACCAGAAUUACAAGCUCACUAGCCUUAGAGUGCACAUAUUGCUCCCCUGCAGUUUGGCUGCCAGCCUUGGAAGUUGUGUGCAGUAUUUAAGGCUUCAGCCUGCCAUGAGAUACAUUGGGUGUAGAAGUAAGUAAUCUGCAGCGUCUGCUUACGUUGCAUCUCGUGUACAGUAACAGCCUGUUGUGGGUGGGUUCUUGAGCACGUAGAAGCAAUCUUCUCCUAAAACUGGAAAAAUAAGAUGUCUUUUUUCGGUUUUCUGAUUUGAAUUAAUAUUGGACUUAUAUAUGCCAUAGCCCAGAAGGAAAACCAUGAGCUAUUGCCACAUUUCAUGCAUCAGGGCUUGGUACGCAUGGUAUCCCAGGACACUGUGGCUUUCUGUCACCAAAUGCAUUUUUGUUCUCGGGAAACGAUGGCCAUCGAUUGGUGCUGGAGAUGAGGCAGUGGGUUAGCUGGACACCAGUCCGCUCCUCUAAUGACCAUGCUUUGGUUUUGAGGUGCUGGAGAGGAGGCAGCGGGUUAGCUGGACACCAGUUUGUUCCUCUAAUGACUAUGCUUUGGUUUUGAGGUGCUGGAGAUGAGGCAGCGGGUUGCUGCUCGCCACUCCGUUCCUUUAAUGAUCAUGCUUUGGUUUUGAGGAACUCAGUAAUCGAUUGGUCUCACUUCAAGAAGUAUUUGCUAAGUAUCAUUGAUAGUAUCUCUUAUGGAUCUUUUGGGGUUUCCUACAUGAAUUAUUUUAGAUGUUUUCCUUUUAUGAAGCUCUUUUUUCUCUUCUUCCCUUGAAAUUCAAUGACUUCUUCCCGAACAUUACAAAGGUAUUUUUUAAUUUGCCCGCAGUGGGGGAAACAGUCAAAAAUUUGAUCAGGGAGUGCACUGAAUGCAGUGAAAACAAAUUUUAUUUUUAAUGCUGUGUUAUUCAUCUCUCUAGUUUUGAUUCUUUAAAUGGUCUGUGAGGAGGGAACCUAUUUGAUAGAAGUCUGAAGCAAAGCCAAAUGAGAGACUGGUUUACUACUAUGUUUAGCAGGUUUCUUUGUAUGGCUUCUCACUUGGUAGCAGUCAUUUCCCAGGCAGUAUAAACAUCGUCCACCUUCUGGGGUUACUCUUUGUUUCUACAAGGGCUCUAGUCUUUUCCACACCAGGUAUCAGCUUUAAGAGCGUGAAGACCUUUUUCAAUGACACACCAAAGUCAUUACCUUCUGAACAAGCUGGUACAUUGAAAGUGUCUGAGAACAUUUCUUCAGUUCCAUCACAGCAUUGGUCUUUUCUUCUCAGUGGCAGACUUGACAAAUUUGACAGGGUAACCUAACACUUCCAGAACUGUGUUAGAAGAAAAAUGCUCCUGUGCAUGAGAACUAGAAAUAAUGUUACAUAAACAGUAUUUCAUAUCCAUAAGCCUUUUGGGGUCUGGGUUAUUUUUUGAAUUUUAAUUGGGAGUGUGCUGAAAGCUGACAAUCAUUGCUAGCUUUGUAAUGUCUUUUCUAGGGUCUAUUUGUAAAUUGUGCCUUCUAUUUCUUUCCUUAUUUGUGAAUGAAUUUGCAGAGAGCCAGGUAGAGCAGACAUCUCCAGCAGUGUUGUGUGUGUGUUCAUGGCCAGAACAGGAGCGACAGGUCCCUGGCAGGCCAAGCCGUGUCCUCGCGUGCCUCAACUCUUCUCCUGGAGGAGAAAAGCUGGAGCAGGAACAGGGCAAUGCUGCCUUUGUGCCCAUCCAACCCCGGGGCUGUCAGCAAGGGUGUGAACUCGUGUCAGUUGUCACAGCCAGCCAUGGGACUGGUGCCACAAAUGCGUCUGCUAAACUAGUCUGCCAGCAACUAGUCCACAGAUGGACAUGAUGUUCAUACACCACCAAUGUGGGCUGGGGCCUAAUGGCAGACCUAAAGUCUAAACUUAUCUAAUUUAUUAUCUUUCCCCGUGGCCGCUGCUCUCCUCCCGUACUCCUUUGUAUUAAAAGCAAUACUGGAAGCCUGUGGUUCCAAUGUUUCACUUUUUCCAUGUGAGUUCUCUCCCUCCCUGUGGUAGGCUGCUCUGUAAUACUUCGAUAUUGAUGAGGAUAUUUUCUCAAAGGCAUCUGAGGCUUCUGCUUUUCGGGGAUCAAAGGAAGGAAUAAUCUGGAUUUUUGCAAAUGGAUACAUGGCAACAUUGAUGUUGUGUCUUCAGUGAAUUGCAGAGUUAAUGUGCUUCAUCUGCUCCAGAGGCUAUUCUAAUACUAAUGUGCUUUUACGCCUUAAAAAAGUCCAUGACCUAAAUACAAAUAGGAAAUCCAGCAUGACUUUAGUUGUUGAGAGAUGCAGGGUUUGCUGGCCUACCCUCGUUGUUCAUGUCCUAGUUUAGCUUCACACUUGUCCAUUUUUGUUUGUUUUACUGUUUUCUGCAAUCUCUGGCAUUAUCAUUCCAAUCCACUGAUUCUUUGGCUCCGGGAUCACCAGACAGUAAGGUCUCAUUUGCACUCCUCUCCACCUGUCUGAACGGCGAUCAGAGACCCCAGCUGCCAAGCUCUGCAAUACUUUGCAAUACUCAGUCGAGGAUUGUGGUUGGCACCAAUGCAGGUUUCGUUUAGUCACGCUGGCAGCGUUCACACUACCACUGGGCUCACUAUAGGUGCAGACACAAGUGUUUCGGUCACUUAUUCUUUUUACAUAGUCUAAAAAUGUAUAAAAAAUUUGCCCAGGCAAGUUUUUCCUCCAUCCAAAUUCACUUUAUUACACAGGCAUGCCAUUUUGAAGGUGGAGGCACACGUUUGCGCUCUUCUCUUGGCAUCACAUCCUUGUGCUUGCGGAGAUGUUUGUGCUGCCCUUGGCAUUGCUCCUCUAUGUUCUUCCCUUUCACUCUUGGGGUGGCUUUGGCAGCUGCUCUGGCCAGAUGCAGCGCUCUCUCCUCUUUUCCAGCGGAGGCAUGUGAGGUCUUUGUGAAAAGCUUUCUGGCAGACACUCUGCAUUUUGCUGGCUCUGCUUUGCGUCCCCAAGACGUGCUCUUCAUCCUAUUGACGUGCUGCCUUCUGACCCACAAACAAGCCAGUUCAGUCGCGUGAGGUGGGUGUUUGGAGGGAAAGCAGCUUACGUAACACACACCAAAAGCCCCAUUAGUGCCUUUGUCUGCUCCAUUUCUGAUGUAUAAACAGUUACUUUGACAUUUAAUGGGUUUGUCAUCUUAUAUCUUGGAAGCCCAGCAAUACCAUGCAUCCCCUUGGAAUAAGCAGGAAGAUUAAUAAUGCCUGCUUGCAAGUACAGAUUUCCUGAUUUUUAAUAAGUAGCGAGCUCAAAUUUUCCCCUGAUAAAGACAUUUUAAUAGUCUCUCUCUCCUCGAAUGGUCUGCUUGUUUUCAUUAAAAGUGACGGAACUUCUUAUUUUGCAGGCUACUACCCUUUGUCUAAUCACUUGGCAUUGUUGAACGGGUUGAAGUUACUGUAAGCAUGCACACUGCAGGCAAAUUGGAAGGAAAGAAAAGAAAAAAGAGACACAGUUUUCCUUAAUCUGCCAAAACAGUCAGGACAAGUUCAAGCAGGAAUGUUAUUACUGACCUCUGCCAAGCCGACACUGUCCUGGAGCAUUUGUGCUGGUAACAAGCAAUGUGCUUCAAUCAUUCCUCUGCAAAGUUAAUUAUUGUAAGUGUUCCUUUUGUUAACAAAUAAUAAAGCUCUGCCUUUGGAGGAUUUCAACCAA